RNAcentral lists this ribosomal RNA (250 nucleotides) under uncultured bacterium. RNAcentral's name for it is "partial 16S ribosomal RNA". It matches the Rfam family "Bacterial small subunit ribosomal RNA", at positions 524 to 773 of the family's 1533-position model. The record is from RNAcentral.
UACGUAGGUGGCAAGCGUUGUCCGGAUUUACUGGGCGUAAAGGGCGCGUAGGCGGGCAUUUAAGUCAGACGUGAAAUACCGGAGCUCAACUCCCGGGCUGCGUUUGAAACUGGAUGUCUUGAGUGCAGGAGAGGGAAGCGGAAUUCCUAGUGUAGCGGUGAAAUGCGUAGAUAUUAGGAGGAACACCAGUGGCGAAGGCGGCUUUCUGGACUGUAACUGACGCUGAGGCGCGAAAGUGUGGGGAGCAAAC